Molecule: long non-coding RNA, 614 nt
Filed under: Lathyrus oleraceus (garden pea)
Lineage: Eukaryota; Viridiplantae; Streptophyta; Magnoliopsida; Fabales; Fabaceae
Description: Pisum sativum (pea) long non-coding RNA (PSAT_LNC010255)
Source: RNAcentral
AGAUAAACAAAUAAUCCAAAGUUAUAGUUAAAAAGUAUAGAUGCAGAUCCAACUUCAUUUUCUAGAAUAAACAAUAAGAAAGGUAUAGGAUGUUAGAAACACUUUAACAAAUAUGAGUUCAUUCCAGUAAACUCCACCAAACUAAUAAGUGGGAGUUAAAAAUACUAUACAAACAAUAUUUAAGUAAAACACUCCCAAACUAAUAAAACUCUUCCUACUAACUUCUGGAAUAUAUGAAAAACUUUAAUAAAAAAGAUUGUGUGGCUAAAAGAUUUACUUAAAAGAAAGUGAAAAAAAGAUUUUUAAAUUUUGUUAAAUUAUGCGGCUAAAAUCUCAUCUUUAUUACAAAAUCAUUAACUUCAAUAUUUCAGAUUCAAAAAUAAAAAGUUGAGUAAAAUAUUGACUUUGAUUAAAAAUUGCGUAUUAGGUAUGAUAAUCAUUUAAAGACCAAUUUUCCUAACAACCUCUUCAUCUUUAAAUAACUUUUUGAAAUAUGCUUCAUGUUCACAAAAUAAAAUUAACAGAUUAAGAUAACAAAAUAAAACAAAUAAUGAUUUACAAGAGAUAGAGAAGAAGAAGCCAACUGAGUAUUGAUUUACCUUGCUUAGACCUUG